UGAUGCAGAGUUUUUUCAGGCGCAUGUGCAUUUCUUUUUCUAUUCUUUUAUACUUUUAUAUUGACAACGUUAUUGUCCGGUUUAAAUAUUAUAGAUCAUUUAGGCUAAAAAACAACCUGAGGUUAGAAUAUAAACAUCGUUUGACAUGUUUCUAUGAACUUUACUGAUACAAUUUGGAUUUUUUUGUCUGAUUGUUUUGACUGAGUUUGAGCCUGUGGAUUACUGAAGAAAACGCGCUAACAAAAUGUUAGGUUUUUGGAUAUAAAGAGACUUCAUCAAACAAAAGGAACAUUUAUUGAGUAAAUGAAUAUCUUCUGAUUGCCACCAUAUGAAGAUCAACAAAGGAGGCGUGUCUUCCCCACGGCCGGAGCGGAGCGCAGCAAGACGCGAGUCUGAAGGAACCGAUCUGGCUCGUCUCUCUAUCUGAACAAAUCAACUACUUUCUCAGCUCAUUCUAAUCGAAGACCGCCCGUGAAUGGAUUUCUCCCGGAUUUGCCCAGACUAUCAUGGAUGCCCCACCGUUAGCAGAGUGGGAAGGUUGUUUCUUGGCGCAGUGAGCUGGACACGCAGCGCUUGCUAAUGGAUCUGGGGAAACGAAUGAUACCUUCUCCCUGACUGACCAUGCCGUGAUCUUGCCGUGGGCCGCCACCCUGUUUAACGUCAAAAGAAACAUUUCGGGGGAAUCUACUGAUCCAGGGAAUAAAUAGUGUGGCAUCACACAGACACCAUGAAGAUUACCUCCCCGCUCAUAAGUAAAGCGAGAUUCAGGUGCACCGUCAGGCUUCUACUGCUGCUAUUACUAUGUGUGGGAUAUUCUCGCGGGAUGCCACAUGUUUUAAGAUUUGGUAAGAUUGCUAUUUUCUUUCUCUGUUAAACAUUCUUACUGUCUUGAUGUAGUAGCUUAGCUAUUCCCUAACUCUGUAACUGUUGUCAUUUCAUGGCUGGGCGCCAUAGCUGUCUUAUAUACCUCCUAGUAGACGUGUUGCCGUGACCCCACGGGUCCUCUUGUCCCAGACUUAUUGGAGUGAGCGCGUGCGCCCCGGAGCCACAUCCCCGAAAUAACUACUACCCCUAUGCACGGUGUUGUUUACCACAGCUGUCUAGGGACAUUGCAUUAUCUCUUUUGUCCUGAAACCUUCAUGCAUGACAACAUUUCCAUGCAGAAUGAUCCGACAGCAGACUAGUACAACUGGAGUCCAUAUAGAAAUAUAUAUAGCCUACAAUUAUGCAUAACUGGAUUUGAUCAUCAUUUGUGGAACUUGUUUCAAAUAUGCGAUGGAGGAAAAGCAACUUUUCCAAAUAGCAGUGUCUGAUUAUGUCUUCAUGCCAAAGUGCCAUGUUGUUGGUGAAUCAUUUAUAUGUUGGAGAAUAAAUUAU
Molecule: long non-coding RNA, 1377 nt
Organism: Oncorhynchus nerka (sockeye salmon)
Lineage: Eukaryota; Metazoa; Chordata; Actinopteri; Salmoniformes; Salmonidae
Exons: 3
Source: RefSeq, a predicted model, not a curated record